RNAcentral lists this ribosomal RNA (603 nucleotides) under uncultured fungus. RNAcentral describes it as "eukaryotic LSU rRNA". It matches the Rfam family "Eukaryotic large subunit ribosomal RNA", at positions 23 to 641 of the family's 3401-position model. The record is from RNAcentral. Lineage: Eukaryota; Fungi.
ACCCGCUGAACUUAAGCAUAUCAAUAAGCGGAGGAAAAGAAACCAACAGGGAUUGCCUCAGUAACGGCGAGUGAAGCGGCAACAGCUCAAAUUUGAAAUCUGGCCUUUACGGUCCGAGUUGUAAUUUGUAGAGGAUGUUUUGGGUACCGCCGUGGUUUAAAUUUCUUGGAACAGAAUGUCAGAGAGGGUGAGAGUCCCGUCUUGGAUCGCGGUAGGGCCUGUGUAAAACUCCUUCGACGAGUCGACUUGUUUGGGAAUGCAGGUCAAAAUGGGUGGUAAAUUUCAUCUAAAGCUAAAUAUUGGCCAGAGACCGAUAGCGCACAAGUAGAGUGAUCGAAAGAUGAAAAGCACUUUGAAAAGAGAGUUAAACAGUAUGUGAAAUUGUUGAAAGGGAAGCGCUGGCAACCAGACUCGUGCGCGGGGUUCCCCCUUGCUUCUGCUUGGGUUAUUUCCCCGUGUCCGGGCCAUCAUCAGUUUUGGGGGCCGGUUAAAGGUCUUGGGAAUGUAUCUACUCCUUCGGGGGUAGACUUAUAGCCCAGGGCGUCAUGCGGCCACCCGGGACUGAGGAACGCGCUUCGGCGAGGAUGAUGGCGUAAUGGUUGU